GGAUUCCCUCAGUAGCUGCGAGCGAACAGGGAAGAGCCCAGCACCGAAUCCCGCGGCCGAUAUCGGGCGCCGGGAAAUGUGGUGUUAGGGAGGGUUCAUUAUCCCUUAUCAUGCGGCGCGUCCAAGUCCUUUUUGAACGGGGCCACAGCCCAUAGAGGGUGCCAGGCCCGUAGUGACCGCUGCUGAUCGCGGGAAGAUCUCUCCUCAGAGUCGGGUUGCUUGAGAGUGCAGCCCUAAGUGGGUGGUAAACUCCAUCUAAGGCUAAAUAUGACCACGAGACCGAUAGCGAACAAGUACCGUGAGGAAAAGUUGAAAAGAACUUCAAAGAGAGAGUUCAAGAGUACGUGAAACCGUUUAGGGGUAAACCUGAGAAACCCGAAAGGUCGAAGGGAGAAAUUUAUUCGCGUUUCGUCGUUGGCGUGAGGCGGUCUUGUAACGGAGAGCGUUCGCGUUUUCCGCGCCUUCCGUUUUUCGAUCCGAUAACGAAUGCGUGCACUUUUCCCCUGGUAGGACAUCGCGAUCCGUUGGGUGUCGGUCUAAGGCUUGCGGUGGAGCUCGAAUGUACGGCUUGCCGUCUUACGUUCGGACCCGCAUGUCCCGGCUGACUCGCUCGACGGUAUACAAAAGGUUUAAGGCCGCUCUUAGAGCGUUCGGCUCAUCGCAAGCGCGUCAGAUGUGUCGGCGAUCGGACCUAGUGCCGGUUCUGACCUC
RNAcentral lists this ribosomal RNA (711 nucleotides) under Gymnopholus sp. DDM-2009. RNAcentral's name for it is "eukaryotic LSU rRNA". It matches the Rfam family "Eukaryotic large subunit ribosomal RNA", at positions 72 to 609 of the family's 3401-position model. The record is from RNAcentral. Lineage: Eukaryota; Metazoa; Arthropoda; Insecta; Coleoptera; Curculionidae.